UACGGAGGGCGCAAGCGUUGUUCGGAAUCACUGGGCGUAAAGCGCGUGUAGGCGGCCGGGCAAGUCGGAUGUGAAAUCCCGAGGCUCAACCUCGGAACUGCACUCGAAACUGCUCGGCUCGAGUCCCGGAGAGGAUGGCGGAAUUCCCGGUGUAGGGGUGAAAUCCGUAGAGAUCGGGAGGAACACCAGUGGCGAAGGCGGCCAUCUGGACGGUGACUGACGAUGAGACGCGAAAGCGUGGGGAGCAAACAGG
Molecule: ribosomal RNA, 253 nt
Filed under: uncultured bacterium
Lineage: Bacteria
Description: partial 16S ribosomal RNA
Rfam family: Bacterial small subunit ribosomal RNA
Source: RNAcentral